RNAcentral lists this ribosomal RNA (765 nucleotides) under Triticum aestivum (bread wheat). Its description in RNAcentral is "partial small subunit ribosomal RNA". Lineage: Eukaryota; Viridiplantae; Streptophyta; Magnoliopsida; Poales; Poaceae. The record is from RNAcentral.
AUGGCGUCGAGCAGUGGGCAGGCAACUCCAAGGCCUAUCUUACCCGCUGUGGCCAAUGCUGCUGCUGUCCCUCCGCCGGCGACCACCAUGGAGCCCAAGAUGGAUGCCGGGCUGCGAGCAUUGGCCUACUCUGGCUCUUUUCAAGAUCUGGAAUCACUCCUCAACGGGAAAGCAGCCGCCUACACCAUCGGAAGCUCGGCGACGCAGCCGCCAGCUUUGUACGCGGUCACCGUUGGAGGUGACACCCUUCUCCACGUGGUCGCCGCCAUUAAUGGCGAUUCUGAGGAUUCCACCAACAAGGCCAGCCUCGUCUACGACAAGGCACCUAGCAUCCUCUUCGUGCAAAACUGCCACGGAGAUACACCCCUGCACUCUGCUGCACGGGCGGGCAACAUGAGAAUGGUGUCUCUUCUCAUUGAUCUCGCCAAUGGUCAGGGUAUUAACAAUGCAAAGGGACUUCUUGAAACACAAAACAAGAUCCAUGAGACAGCCUUGCAUGAGGCCGUCCGCUCUGGGAACAAUGAUAUGGUCAAGUUGUUCAUGGAGGAGAACCCACAACUGGCCCGUUUUCCUGAACAAGGCACUUCGCCGUUGUACCUAGCCGUCUUACUGGAAAACAAAAUCAUCGCAAAAACACUCUACGACUUGAGUGGUGGGCUUCUUUCAUACUCUGGACCAGAUGGACGAAAUGCAUUGCAUGUCGCUGUUCAAGGAAGCCAAGGUUCAAAUUUUAAUAUAGGUGAAUCUUGCAAAAAUGAUAUUUAG